Molecule: long non-coding RNA, 972 nt
Filed under: Homo sapiens (human)
Lineage: Eukaryota; Metazoa; Chordata; Mammalia; Primates; Hominidae
Description: HSALNT0320767
Source: RNAcentral
UCAGCCUCCCUAAGUGCUGGGAUUACAGGCGUGAGCCACUGUGCCCAGGCUUUCAGGCUUAUUUUUGUCUUAUAGGCAAUUCAUAGUAAAUAAUGAGAAAAGCCUACUGUAAAACUGCCACACCUAGAAAUGGACUGAUCUCAAGGCAAGGUAACACAUCUUAACAAAAAGCAUUAACUUGCUGGAUACAAAGGCUACAAACUUUGACUUCUACUUUGACUUUCACUGAAGUUUGCUUUCAUGUAAAAUACAUACCAAAAAAAAGAAAGAAAGAAAGAAAGAAAGAAAGAAAAACGUGGAGACCAAAAAGGUAUAUAUCCCUUUUGUUGUUCUAAUAUUUUUAAGAAACAGGAUCUUGCUAUGUUGUCCUGGCUGGACUACAGAGGCUAUUCACGGGCCCAAUCAUAGUGUAUGUACUACAGCCUUGGAGAAAGAAACUGGAUUUCCACCCAACUGCUUCUCUCCUAACAAGUUACAUUGCCCUGAAGUGCUUAUUUAGUACCUUUUACCAUUUCAAAUACUUAGACUAUCUGAGGCCAAGUGGGAGAGAUUAAGCUCUAUGCUGUAAACAGUUAAGGAUUCAAUUUAUCAGCAUUUAACAGUUCCACAUUAUUUUCCACCUCCAACAUACAUGAUUAUACCAAUAUUAACACAUCAGCAAUAAAAUAACCAUAAAAUGGGAGGCAUGGGUGAAGAAGGAAUUGUGGUGAAAAUAUCUUCAUAUAAAUUAUAACUAUAAUCUGUAUUAUCUAUUUUGACAGAAAUAAUUCUCCCACUACUAUGCCAGAAGUUACGUAUGAUGGUGCUGGAUAUUUACAGUUAUCAGAAGAGUAUCUACUUCUAUCUUAACUAUAGUUGAUGGUAGUUUUAUAAUUUUGCAUACUUUGUGCAUGUUCCAGUGAAAACUCCAAAAAACCAUAAAGAAUGUAUCUAGACCAUGGGCUUUAGUCAUACUUUAAAUAAACCUUUAAU